CGGCGUGAAAAUAGCAAGUUGAAUACCUAUUACACCCAGUUCCCCAUGGAUCACUGAAGUUAAGCAACGUUGUGCGUGGUUAGUAUCUAAAUGGGUGACCAUCUGGGAAAUCGUUUGCUGCUGG
RNAcentral lists this ribosomal RNA (124 nucleotides) under Diaphorina citri (Asian citrus psyllid). The record is from RNAcentral. Lineage: Eukaryota; Metazoa; Arthropoda; Insecta; Hemiptera; Psyllidae.